Molecule: long non-coding RNA, 322 nt
Organism: Dinoponera quadriceps
Lineage: Eukaryota; Metazoa; Arthropoda; Insecta; Hymenoptera; Formicidae
Exons: 4
Source: RefSeq, a predicted model, not a curated record
AUUGGUUUCGCGCGCGUUCGGCGAGGAGCACUGCUGCGCUUGAUUAUGAGUAUUCGUGUUUACACGCGGCCCACCGUUGCAAAGAAUUGCGGCGAUAAAGCUCCAGGCAAAUUUUUUUGCGGUUAGAGCGGCCAUCUUAUUGUUCGUAUUCGGUUUUGUACGGAACUGUUUAUCACGCAUACAGUUUCGGCCACGAGGUUUCAACUGAAUUUUGAAGCAGUCAUCUUACUACACGCAGCGACCCUGGGUCUCUCCUCGGCAUCUGUUCCGCCACCGCACGCACACUCUCCAGCGCGACGCUCCCACACAAGUGUGUGAGAAC